GGGGGGUGAUGGCGCUACGCGAGGCCCUCGCGGAACUGGCACGAGCGUGGCGGCGCCCGGGAGGGCGGAACGGGGCCGCGGUGGUGCGGCGGCGGCACCGCCGUGGCGGGGACUAUAUUUCUUAGCGGAGGGGGACGCGUGGCUGGUCAAGCCGCGACGGUGACGACACCGGAGCUCCGCGAGAUGGACUGAUAAGCAGCGGGAUCCCAACCAAUGAUAAUGCUCUAUUGCUUUGAUUGGCAUAUGAUGCGGCAAACCUGAGCGCGGGUGGUCGUGGUCCCCGCCCACCGAGCGGGGGGCGGGCCGGCGGGCCGGGGGAGGCCGCUAGUUACCGUCACCGCCCACAGCUCCCCCUGCACUGCCGACGCGGCCCCCGGGGAGGCAGGGUGCGCAGGGCUGGGGUCCCGGGGGGGUCCCGCCGCGGGAGCCCUCGCCCGCCAGCUGCUGCCUCGCAGCCGCCGCCCCCCAGAACCCCCGCCGAGAGGCCGCAGGAGCGCGGCGGGACCUGGAUGGCAGUCCUGGCCCGGGCGCACCGCCCCCGCGAGGGCCCCCGGAGCACCUUCCGCGCCGCUGGGCCUGGCGUUCCCCCCGGCACAGCGCAGCCCCGGGGGUGGUUGGGCCGGUGCAGCCCCGCUGUGGGGGCUCCCAGGAGCACCGAGGCCUGGACCGGCCUGCGCGGCUGCCAACCGACCUCGGCCGGGCCCUGCAGUGCAGCGGGCUGGGAUGGAGAGUUCGUGUGUGACAUCCUGGAGUCGCCUCGGAGCGCGUUGGGAGAGGCCUCAAAUUUCGUCUAGUUCCACCCCGUGCCAUGGCAGGGACAACCUUCCACUAUCCCAGAAUGGUUGGACUUGGAUUGGACCUCUGGAGAUCAUCCAGAGUUCAGCUCCCUGCCAAGGCAGGAUCUCCCAGAGUAGGUGACACAGGAACACAUCCAGUUUACGGACACUGCUCCUUGUCCUGUGUCUGGGCACCAGAACAGAGUCUGGCACAUCCUCUGACACCCCUCGGAGAUACUUGUAUGUAUUGGUAAGAUCCUGUCUCAGUCUUCUCUGGAUUAAUCAAGCCCAGCUCCCACGGCCUCUCCUCAUCAGAGAGAAGCUCCAGACCCCAAAUCAUCUUUGGGACCUCCACUGGACCCUCCCCAGUAGCUCCUUGUCCUUGUCCCAGAACUGGAUACAGCAGCCCAGAUGUGCCCCCCGCCCCCCCCGCCCCCCAGCAGAGGGGCAGGCUCCCUCCCUGCCCUGCUGGCCACGCUUUUCCCACUGCCCCCAGGGUCCCAGUGUCCCCCCUGGUCCCAGGGCACUCUGCUGUCUCAGGGACAGUUUGCCAUCCACCAGCUCCCCCAGGUCCUUCUCUGCAGAGCUGCUCUCCAGUGGGUCACCCCCAGCCCGUGCUGG
This is a long non-coding RNA of Serinus canaria (Common canary), 1397 nucleotides long. RefSeq lists it as uncharacterized. The record is from RefSeq and is a predicted model, not a curated record. NCBI's taxonomy places the organism in Eukaryota, Metazoa, Chordata, Aves, Passeriformes, Fringillidae. The transcript is spliced from 3 exons.